GGUUUAGGGCACUGGAAGGUCCCUAAACCGAAAGGGGCUCUGCCCGCCCGAGGAUGGGCCGGCGGCCGAUUAGGUAGUUGGUGGGGUAACGGCCCACCAAGCCCAUAAUCGGUACGGGCAGUGAGAGCUGGAGCCCGGAGAUGGACACUGAGACACGGGUCCAGGCCCUACGGGGCGCAGCAGGCGCGAAACCUCCGCAAUGCUCGAAAGAGCGACGGGGGGACCCCAAGUGCCGUGGUACAACCACGGCUUUUCCGGAGUGUAAGAAGCUCCGGGAAUAAGGGCUGGGCAAGGCCGGUGGCAGCCGCCGCGGUAAUACCGGCGGCCCGAGUGGUGGCCACUAUUAUUGGGCCUAAAGCGUCCGUAGCCGGGCUUGUAAGUCCCUGGCGAAAUCCCACGGCUCAACCGUGGGGCUUGCUGGGGAUACUGCAAGCCUUGGGACCGGGAGAGGCCGGGGGUACUCCUGGGGUAGGGGUGAAAUCCUAUAAUCCCAGGAGGACCGCCAGUGGCGAAGGCGCCCGGCUGGAACGGGUCCGACGGUGAGGGACGAAGGCCAGGGGAGCAAACCGGAUUAGAUACCCGGGUAGUCCUGGCUGUAAAGGAUGCGGGCUAGGUGUUGCUUGGACCUCGAGUCCAAGCAGUGCCGC
RNAcentral lists this ribosomal RNA (647 nucleotides) under uncultured archaeon. RNAcentral's name for it is "bacterial SSU rRNA". It matches the Rfam family "Archaeal small subunit ribosomal RNA", at positions 156 to 804 of the family's 1478-position model. The record is from RNAcentral.